Long non-coding RNA from Notolabrus celidotus (New Zealand spotty), 1619 nucleotides. RefSeq lists it as uncharacterized. The transcript is spliced from 4 exons. Lineage: Eukaryota; Metazoa; Chordata; Actinopteri; Labriformes; Labridae. The record is from RefSeq and is a predicted model, not a curated record.
CACACCACACUCGAAAACUACCAAUAGGCAGGCUUCUCUGGCAUUCAAAUGGUAACUAACUUGAUUUUUUUUCUUCUGCACCCACCGAGAGGCUGUGCGACUGUAGCACCAGCUCCAUAAAAGCAGAUGGACGCCCGACCUGAGAUCUGCUCAAGACCACAAUAUGAGAGACACCACUAGAAAUAUCACACCAGCUAAGCAACACGACUCCACCAGCACAAAACAGCACCACUGAGACGCAGGGAUGAAUGAGAUGGAGGAGAGGUCAGAGGUCAUGUGAUGGUCGACGACACUUGAAGACGCAGCGAGUUCAUGAAAACAGAUGAGCUGCUGAUGACAGCACAGCCAAACAGCAGGUUUUCGUUUUUCAACAAAGGCUUUGGCAUACGAGUUCUAAAGCAUUCACAUUUCUCUCAUCUGAGCAGCUUCUAAGGUCUUCCAGUGUGGCCUGAGCUUUGUCUUUAAGCUGGUCGACGUCUAGAUUCUGGAUGUUGGACAGCUGGCCCAGCACCGACUGCUUGUGCGCCUCCUCCUGGCCAUCCUCAGCGAUCAUCUUGGCCAGCUCUGUGGGCAACACCACGUCGUCCCCCGCCUGCUGGAUCUGGGUCUCAUCCAGCUCAUUCUGAUGCAAGCACGUCCAUGAAGACACACCCAACAGGACAGGAGAGAGGGCAACAAACUCAGAACCAAAGUCUAAAUCUGACCGUACUUUACAGAAAGAUUGUCAGCUGUAAGCAUGGUGGUUUUACACAUGCAGUUUUCUUGUCGCUCAGUUAUCUACUUAAGCAAAGUUUGAUUAGAUUACCUUUGGUAGUCUGUACUUAUCCCGGAAGUGACUUCUCACUGUGGCUCUCUCAGCUUUCUUCUGGGCAAAAUCGGCUUCUCGUUCCUGUCUGCAAGAAAAGGAGGAAAAGUUUUCUCAGUGCCACUGAAUGUAUGAAUUUAGAUCAUACCGAGUUAAAGCAAAAUCCAGCAAGGAAAGGAAAGAUCCAUUGUCAGCCCUGAAGCAUUGGAGAACCAAUGCCAAUGCCACAGCUCACACAUUGUAGAGUGAAUUGAACCCAUCUAAUAAAUCACACCACACAUUUUAUCUCAGCAUUUAGUAAACCAACAUUUAUGAUUGCCACAUGGAGAUGGAAGUCUCCUUUACCAGGAUAAUUUGAACCUUGGAGGCCUUGGAGCUUAGCAUUGCCUCCCCUUUAUGCUAACUACACAGUGUGGAGCCAGCAGAAGGUGGAGCAGCAGCAGCAGCAAUGCCGAAGGGGGAAAUGAAGCAGGAAGAGAUGCCCUGCCUAUGCUGAACAGCCCCAUAUGCAGCUUCCUGCUUGUUCUGCACUCUGUGAGGUAAUUUUCUCUCUUGGGAUACUAGAGGUAACCUACUAAUUGCAGUCAGAACAACACUCCCACUCUCACAUCCGUCAACCCAUCCAAUAUAUCCUGGUUUUAACUCCAUUUAGCUGUGCAGCAUUGCAGUUUGCCUCUAUAGCUGCCCUGGAAUAUCUGAAUUCCAGGGAAGAUUUCAUCUCUUAGGACUGAAAACGUUCAUAAAAGCUGCACUUAGCUAGACUGUUGUCCCAAGUGGCAGAUCAUGUCUUCCAGCUACAAUUGACUCGCACUGU